AACGAACGCUGGCGGCAGGCCUAACACAUGCAAGUCGAGCGAGGACUUCGGUUCUAGCGGCGGACGGGUGAGUAACGCGUGGGAAUGUGCCCUUCUCUACGGAAUAGCCCUGGGAAACUGGGAGUAAUACCGUAUACGCCCUAUUGGGGAAAGAUUUAUCGGAGAAGGAUCAGCCCGCGUUGGAUUAGGUAGUUGGUGGGGUAAUGGCCUACCAAGCCGACGAUCCAUAGCUGGUUUGAGAGGAUGAUCAGCCACACUGGGACUGAGACACGGCCCAGACUCCUACGGGAGGCAGCAGUGGGGAAUCUUAGACAAUGGGGGCAACCCUGAUCUAGCCAUGCCGCGUGAUUGAUGAAGGCCUUAGGGUUGUAAAGCUCUUUCAGCUGGGAAGAUAAUGACGGUACCAGCAGAAGAAGCCCCGGCUAACUCCGUG
This 433-nucleotide ribosomal RNA is filed under the name uncultured bacterium. RNAcentral describes it as "partial 16S ribosomal RNA". It matches the Rfam family "Bacterial small subunit ribosomal RNA", at positions 29 to 507 of the family's 1533-position model. The record is from RNAcentral.